UGUUAUAACUCUCAUCUAUUUGUACCGUUAAAAACUAGUGUGAUUGAUAAAAUAACCAAAAGACGACACGUUGCAUACCACAUGUAUAUCAUGCUGAUGUACAUAGAUAGUUUUUAAUAGUAAAAAUAGAUGAAAAUUUUAACA
This is a non-coding RNA of Gossypium raimondii (Peruvian cotton), 144 nucleotides long. The record is from Rfam. Lineage: Eukaryota; Viridiplantae; Streptophyta; Magnoliopsida; Malvales; Malvaceae.